This 170-nucleotide ribosomal RNA is filed under the name Tenacibaculum sp. L6. RNAcentral's name for it is "partial 16S ribosomal RNA". It matches the Rfam family "Bacterial small subunit ribosomal RNA", at positions 1 to 169 of the family's 1533-position model. The record is from RNAcentral. Lineage: Bacteria; Pseudomonadati; Bacteroidota; Flavobacteriia; Flavobacteriales; Flavobacteriaceae.
ACAAUGAAGAGUUUGAUCCUGGCUCAGGAUGAACGCUAGCGGCAGGCUUAACACAUGCAAGUCGAGGGGUAACAGGGUGCUUGCACCGCUGACGACCGGCGAACGGGUGCGUAACGCGUAUAGAAUCUGCCUUGUACAGGAGGAUAGCCUUUAGAAAUGAAGAUUAAUAC